AUUGAACGCUGGCGGCAUGCUUUACACAUGCAAGUCGAACGGCAGCGCGGGCUUCGGCCUGGCGGCGAGUGGCGAACGGGUGAGUAAUGCAUCGGAACGUGCCCAGUAGUGGGGGAUAGCCCGGCGAAAGCCGGAUUAAUACCGCAUACGACCUGAGGGUGAAAGCGGGGGACCGAAAGGCCUCGCGCUAUUGGAGCGGCCGAUGCCGGCUUAGCUAGUUGGUGGGGUAAAGGCUUACCAAGGCGACGAUCCGUAGCUGGUCUGAGAGGACGACCAGCCACCCUGGGACUGGGACACGGCCCAGACUCCUACGGGAGGCAGCAGUGGGGAAUUUUGGACAAUGGGGGCAACCCUGAUCCAGCCAUGCCGCGUGCGGGAAGAAGGCCUUCGGGUUGUAAACCGCUUUUGUUCGGGAAGAAAUCCUCUGGGCUAAUACCCCGGGGGGAUGACGGUACCGGAAGAAUAAGCACCGGCUAACUACGUG
Molecule: ribosomal RNA, 484 nt
Filed under: uncultured bacterium
Lineage: Bacteria
Description: partial 16S ribosomal RNA
Rfam family: Bacterial small subunit ribosomal RNA
Source: RNAcentral